Molecule: non-coding RNA, 712 nt
Organism: Melanotaenia boesemani (Boeseman's rainbowfish)
Lineage: Eukaryota; Metazoa; Chordata; Actinopteri; Atheriniformes; Melanotaeniidae
Source: the annotation of a RefSeq genome assembly
UACUUCUGCACUGUGUUCAAGCUUUCUGUCAAUAAGAAGAGCUGCUGUGAAGAGAACAAUUGUCAGACUGAAUGUUGAACAUCAGCUAGUUUCUCCUGCUGAUUGAAACCUUGUUGUACAGAUGGAACAUUGGCUGUGGAUUAUUCUGGCUGCUCUUUUCUUUGAGUGUAAAGGAGAAGACACAGUGACCCAGCCAAGAGAAGAUGUUACUGCUGCUGAAGGAGACCAUGUUAAACUCAGCUGUACUUUUACUACCACAAGUACUGCAGCUCCCACAUUGAUCUGGUACAAACAAGAAGUAAAUAGUUUCCCAAAGUACAUGCUGAAACGUUACUUAACCACAGCAGAGAAUGAUCCAGAGUUCAGCAAAGACAGAUUUGAUGCUAAGAUCAAAGACAAAUCGGUUCCUCUGAAGAUCCAGAAGCUUCAUGUGUCUGACUCUGCUGUGUACUACUGUGCUCUGCAGCCCACAGUGACAGGAAACAGCAAAACUCUGUACAAAAACCUUUGGAGCAAAGACAACGCAAUACUCCACAACGUCCACUAGAGGGCCUCACACACUGUUACACUUCUAUGGUUUGUCAGGAUUCAGUCUGGGUUCUUUGUACAGGUGUAAAUAAAGUAAACAUCACUGUUUUCUACAUCAUUACACUCUAAUAAAAUACAUAUUUUUAUUACUUUACUACAAGAAUCAGAACAUAGUGUAUAGAUA